CGUGCCCGCAGGGGCACACCUGUGCAGUUCCCAUACUGGGCUACAAACAAAAUGGAGUGACUCAUCAUAUGAAAUGGAAGAUCAGUACCUGAUCACACCUUUCUAGCAUGACAGCAGUCAAAAUCAGUUUGUCUUCGGGCUUGUGAUGUACCAGCAUUAGGAUUACCAGAAGCUGUGUGUCAAGAACAGUAUCUCAAAAUAAAUAACAACACAUAAAAACACCCA
This 225-nucleotide long non-coding RNA is filed under the name Castor canadensis (American beaver). RNAcentral's name for it is "lncRNA (ENSCCNG00000028694.1)". Lineage: Eukaryota; Metazoa; Chordata; Mammalia; Rodentia; Castoridae. The record is from RNAcentral.